CAAAUUAGAGCUUGAGAUAAGUAUUUUAUUUACAUUAAAAAGUUGAUUGUUAAAUUCAAUUUAAUUUGA
Molecule: transfer RNA, 69 nt
Filed under: Phloeopora testacea
Lineage: Eukaryota; Metazoa; Arthropoda; Insecta; Coleoptera; Staphylinidae
Description: tRNA-Val
Source: RNAcentral